Molecule: long non-coding RNA, 2142 nt
Filed under: Pogona vitticeps (central bearded dragon)
Lineage: Eukaryota; Metazoa; Chordata; Lepidosauria; Squamata; Agamidae
Description: lncRNA (ENSPVIG00000005178.1)
Source: RNAcentral
CUCGACAGCUCCGCCUUCCCACCAGCAGAGAGGGCGGGAAGCCGGGUGGGGCCCGGCGGGCUAUUGGCCGCGGCCGCUGCUCGCUCGCUUGGCCCUGGCGCUGACACCGCGCCGUUAGGGAGGAACAGCUGCUGCUCCGCCAGCGCCCACCGCGGGAGAAGCGAGCUGGGGCUCCGAGGAGCAGCAAGCUGUCUGGGCUGGGUUGGGGCGGAGUGGGAGGGGGGGCUGCGGGUGCAGAGGCGCUAUGGGGCCCUGACCAAGCCAGCCGAGCAACCCUUCCCCACGUGUACGCCGCGGGCAGCCCUCGCCUCUCUGGUUGCUCCUCGGUGGCGAGAGGAAGGAGGCGAGCGGCCACAACCCCGAAGGCGUCCCCUGGGCUCAGUGUUCCUGCGAUUCUCUGUGUGAGAAGCCAAAUAUUAGUCGAAUUACCCCUUCAUCUCUGCCUCUCUGUGCCAGGAAAAACACUAACUGUUAUCUGAAGUGUUCUUUGUGAGUUCAGAACAAGGACACUAAUACUUAUUGAAAAUACUGUUCUAAUUUUGGUUGGCAGAGUGAGGGAAACUUACUGUGUUUUAUUAUUUUUAGUUGGAAGUGAAAGGAGAGAAUGUUUGGAGCCGAAGAAUGGAAGUUUGAUGAAAAGGAUGUCAUGAAGGCUAGUCUGGCAAACUUGGAUAACUAACUUUUCUUGGAUACUAACUUGGGUAGAGGGGAGCUUUAGAAGAGUCCAUACUACUAUGAGAGUACAGUAGCUGUGUUAGAAGCAGGUUUGUUAGUAAUACCUGUACUGCUUUGCAAAAGGAAAAUUCUGUUUCAGCAAUGGAGCACGUCAAAGUGUUAGUAUUUUGCUCAGGUUAUGAGAAUAGAAUAUGAAGUUGCUGAUUCUACUUUUCUCAAAAAUAUGGUUUGGACAUAUAUUCUGAGGCUUUUGCUUUCUUGCACAGAAUUUUUAUUUUUUAAUUAAAAAAUAGACAACUGUACAAUUAUAUCUGUUUUAAUGGAGUCAUAUCUUCAGUGCAUUAUGGAGCACAUGACUAGAAUUAUGAUAGUCAAGCCACAACCAUUUUUAGAAAGAGCAUGGGAAACAAGUCUGAUCAUAUAUGAGACUUGUUACAAGAGGAUUGAACUGAUGGUGCACUUGUCUACAACGUUGCCUCUGUUUAUGUAAUACGAAGAGAAGAUCGUGUUUAUACUUAUCUUAUAAUCACUUCACAUAAAAGUGAAGUCAACAGUUUAACAUUAUGUACUGCAUGACUACUAGUACAAGGCAUUAGGUGUUGAAAAUCAGUUAAUUAUGACUUUUAUAUAACUUUGUGUGCUACUCUUCUUACCAUAAUCAAUAAGAAACAAAUGCCAACCUUCCUUGUCUACCAGUACUGCUGAAGAAGUACUGUGGUCAAAACAAAUAUGUACUGUAUUACGGCAGGCAGAGUUAGGUGGAUCCAGGAACUCUGGGCAUCCAUUGGCCCAGCUGGAAAAAAAAAGCUGACGUCUAUGAGUGCCUACCUUUAUUAAAGUUGAUAUUUUAAUGCUUUUUCAAAAGCUUUUACGCUAGCAGUAGUCUUGCAGUAUUCUGUUCUGUAGUAUUUUAUUGGACUUUUGGUUGUUGUGGGUUUUUCGGGCUCUUUGGCCGUGUUCUAAUCCUGGACGGGAUUAUGGGAGAGAGUGAGAGUGCCUAGGAGGAGGCAGAUUACAGAAGGAGAAAAGAGAUCCCCCCUAGACCCUCUUAUUGGGAGAAGCUGAUGCUAGAGAGUGGAGGAGGAGAUUGAGAGAAGAGAAGGAGAGAGUGGAAAGGAGAGAAAGGCUGGAAUGGAGAAUAGGAGAGAUAAGGAAGAAGAGUUACAGAUAUAACUUUAUUAAGAUGUAAAGGACCCUGGGAGGAUUGAGGCCUCAAGAGACGAGCCCUGUAGAAUGGCGAUCAGGAUGACGAGAUCGUGCCCUUGCUGGAAGGUUCAACGGGGCAGACCGUGAGAGACUGGGUCCCCACCAACUUACCAGGACCAUGGGAUAAUAGUUAUGGUAACCCGUUCCUGUUUGACUAUUGGAAGCCCCUUCCGGACUGUUGGGAGAAGGAGAAAAGACUCACGUUACAGACACUUGUUUAUUGUUUAAUGCACCAAUAAAUCUUUCACCUGUUUUGAAGCA